This 74-nucleotide transfer RNA is filed under the name Flavobacteriaceae bacterium. RNAcentral's name for it is "tRNA-Thr". It matches the Rfam family "tRNA". Rfam says of the family: Transfer RNA (tRNA) molecules are approximately 80 nucleotides in length. Their secondary structure includes four short double-helical elements and three loops (D, anti-codon, and T loops). Lineage: Bacteria; Pseudomonadati; Bacteroidota; Flavobacteriia; Flavobacteriales; Flavobacteriaceae. The record is from RNAcentral.
GCCGAUGUAGCUCAGUUGGCUAGAGCAGCUGAUUUGUAAUCAGCAGGUCGGAGGUUCGAGUCCUCUCAUCGGCU